This is a long non-coding RNA of Anopheles merus, 7590 nucleotides long. RefSeq lists it as uncharacterized. NCBI's taxonomy places the organism in Eukaryota, Metazoa, Arthropoda, Insecta, Diptera, Culicidae. The transcript has 4 exons. The record is from RefSeq and is a predicted model, not a curated record.
CGCGGUAACCAUUUUUACAUCAUUACGCCAGUCCACUUUGUUUAUGCAUGCAUACGCGUAGCAGGCGGCGUCGGCAGCAGACGGUUCCUGGCAAGCGCUGCUGGGUGCUGGCUUUGGCUGCUACUGCUGCCGUUAGCCAGCAAUUUAGCGGCGGCAGUAGCAGCACCACACAGCGCAACGGCAGCAGCGGCUAACUGUGUAAUGUCCCUCGGCUAAUACACAUCGGCUGGGACACGGUUGUCUGCUGCUGCUGAUGCCGCUGCUGUUGGUUGAACGUAGCCGCUUUCGCAACAGCCCCCCCACUCCCGAAGCAAAGAGUUGUUCACCUCGCAACAGUUGCCAGCGGGUUCUAGUAGCCGAAAGGCAGUAUGGUCAGUAGUGUCGCUAGAUUGCAAAUCCUUCCCUGGACGGAAAACGCGAGCGUUCGGCAGUGUGGUGCGUUUGAGUGUGUUGAGUGCGAGUGCAAGUGGUCAUACCGUCGAAAGGAUGCAAAGAUGGGCUACAACCAGCAAGCAGCCCUUUCGCUGCGUCGUGGUCAGUGCGUGCGUUCAGCUGGAAAAAUAUUUGAUGCAAACUGUGCUACUACAUCAACAACAACAACAACAACAGUCGCAGCAGUUCGGCAGGGAAACAAACCCUCUCCAGGCGGUGGUGUGCGUGCAGCGUAAGCGUGUGUGCUAUCCUUCUCCGAAACCGUGACCGGUGUGAAAAGUGUACGUUUUCGUUUGUUUAUUAUCAUCCGACCCUGUCAACAAUAAACGUGCAGUGGACAACAGUGGCCUCGCGUCAUUGUGCAAGAUGUUGUAGCUCUUCCGGUGCAUGCAGUGGAAAACCAUCCGACAGGAACGGAAGCAGAUUGAAGGAUAAAUGAGUGUGUUUAAUUAAACGCUCAAUUCGCAUUUUUUUUCGUGAGUGCAUGUGAUUUGGUGAAUCUAGCCCGGAGCAGUAACGGUUGUUGUUUUCGUUUUGUGGCCUUUUUUAUCCGUGAACGUACAAUAACACUGUAAAGUUUUGGAAACACAACAUAUUUUGCGUUCAAUUUGGUCAACUUUCAUCCCUUCUACCGUUGAGUGUAAACAAACCAGUUCGAUGCGUGAUGACCCGUGCCCGCCUUUCGUAGUGGUUAUGGUAACCUAGUGCGUCAUCAUCAUGUGCGAGCGUCGUUAGGUUCGCGGAAGGAUACGGCAGGACACACGACGAUAGUAUUGAGUGCAUUCUCUCGCCUCGACGGUGAUAAGCAUAAAUGUGAAUGCGAGACUCAGCUGUUUGUGCCGUACCGGAACGAGCUGGAACGUGCUGCUGAACCAUGGUUUCAACACAAAACACAACACAGUGCAAUCGGUGUUGUUGGACAGCAAGUAAUUUGCUACCUGCAGUGCGAACUUUGUGAUUCUUCGUUCAAUUCAUUUUUAAACAACAUUGCACGGUGUGCAGAAAAUGGCAAGUGAAACUCCUGUAAAGAUUCUUUGGCUGCCUAUGACUCCCGUUGUUUAUUUAUUUUCCGUUUCUUAUUGACUUGAACAUGAAUAUUAUUCAACCAUGAUUCUUCAAACCAAACGUGAAAAGCAACAAUGUUACUAAUAACAACUAAACUAUAUCAAGAUAUGAACACUCAACGGAAUCGGCUAUGGAAACUCUAGCUAAUUUAUUUGCAGUAACCAACUCCACUACUUAGUUUUAUUACAGUGCAAUUUAACAGCACAACAAAAAAGAAAUCUCACUCGUUCUGUCCUUGCUUUCACACCUUCGUCCAUUGACGUUGCUACUAAACUACUAGACAGGUUUCCUUAGCUGGAAAUCUAUCACUUAGUACUAAAAAAACCUUCGAGUGGACUACACACGCUCCCGUGCACGAAUGAUCAACUUAAAAAUGGUUUGGGUUCUACAGCCUACAACACAUUUCGAAUGUUUCAACAACUACAAUAUACGUUCCAAACCACGGAAAGGGAAACAGAUUCCUGCCGAAACCCGCUCGCUUUACACUGAACAAAGCACGAGAAAUGCACACAACGAUACCCGCCACACGAACCCUUCGCUCCGUUCUAUCCUGAAAGGGAGCAUUUGCUCUAGCAGCAAACGCACAAGAGUGUCGAAACUAAACAGUUUCACCAGGAGCACAAACCUGACGAAAAAAAAAACGAUUUGACAUAACCGAUUGCGGCGUAAAACAUGCGCGCAAAAGAAGCAAGAGCAAGUGCGACACGAUACAGAUGCAAGAAGCAAGAAGAAACACAGAUAAACAGAAGAAAUGCAACAAUUAAGUUCCUACUCUAAAAUAAAGAAAAAUGAAACAUGAAACAUAGAUAAAAAUAUACGUUAUAAACGAGAGUGUAAUAAUUGUACUAUUUAGGCGCAUGAAUUUAACCCAAAAUCGGAUUGUUCGAUGUUUUUUGGGAAGUGAAACAAAACGAAAAGAAGAUGAGAUAGAAAAUGAAAAGAAAAGAUACACACCCCCCGAGACGCAUAUACACACAUGAGAGUAGGAGAGAAAAGGAGAAAAGAAAAACAUCAGCAAACAAAUCAUGUGAACGCAAAUCGUGAUCGUGACAAAAUGUAAAGUUACAAGAGACUGAACGUUUGCCCUGGGGUGGCGGCGUUUGGUUUAUGAUUGUGUUUUAACAUAUUAGAAAAAAAACCCUUAUGCUACAUGAUCAGCAUAAUGCAUAGUCCUACUCCUAGACCUUAUAUUUUAAUGAUCAAUUCCUUGCGGUUGGAGUGUUUUUUCGCCAUCGGAACCUACUAGCAGGUCUCCGGACUGUUCAGCGUGAAGACCACUUUGACCGUGCGCGAUUAAUCCUUAAAAAGGGUUUAAGAUCUAAGCUAUAACGAUGUGUCAUUCUGCAGUAUGGAAGAUUCAAAUAUGACGUAAAACACAAACAGCCAAACGUCGCCACACACAUGGCAGACAGAACAGUUUUUGCACCUCGCUUGUUCUCAUCUCAACACAAAUUGAGAUGAGACCUAGAAUUCUACUAACUAUAACAUGUAGUAUUAAGAAAGUUACACUGAAGCCGAAGUGAAAAGAAAGUUCAUUUCAGAAUGAUUAAACGAUAACAUAAGCUACACAAAUACACGCAAACAAAGCGUAAAACGAAGUGUGAGACAAUUAAACACUGAUGAAUAAAUGUAUAAAGUGAUGGACAGGAGAAGCUGCAAAAAGAAAAGCACAAAAGACGAAUAAUCAUGGCGAACAAUGCCAUACGAUGUGUGAGUGUGUGUGUGUGUAAUUAAAACGAAAUCAAGCAGCAGUAUAAUGUAAAAGCACUAUUGAACAUAAUGAUAUCAAAAAGGCAGCAGAAAGAUCGAGAUCGAUCUCAUAAUCCAUCUCGAUGAUAGGGUUUUGAUUCUUGUAUCAUACAUCUUUGCGCCGUUACCUUUCUUUUUGCUGUUCUCUGGGCUAAGGUGCAGAAAGUUUCCAGCGCCAAACACUUGACAAAAAGAUCCACGAGCUAUUAAACUCUACUCUUUGCACGUUUCCACAUUUUGAAGCGGACGAUUUUCGAUACAUUGCAGCAUAAACAACAACCAACUGUUUCUGUGCGAUCAACAACACAGUUUGGACCAGCUAGUGGAACAUUCCAACAUCAACUUACCACCGUUUCACACAAGCGGGCUCGUUAAGUCAACAAGAUAAGCAUUGCGAUCUUAUAUACUAUUGUAGUUAGCUUAUCGAAAUGCAUAGACAUAUUUUUUAAAACGUGGGAAAAUAUAACAAAAAAAAACAUAAAAAUCAUAAAACAAAAACAAAAAAAUAUCGAGUGCGUAAAAUAGAUGAAAGUUAAAUAUAUGCAUACAUACCCUUUGAAUAUUUAUUAUUCAUUGACGAUCGAAGAAAAUCAAUUGAUCUCUAGCGACUAUAUUCGUCACCCACAGUGACAGUGAUCGAGUGCGUUCGAUCGUUGCUCGCUGUGCGCGUACGAUCAGUCGGCUCAUGUGCAAACAUACAAUCCAUGUGCAAUGAAACAUAAAAUUUGUUCGCUAAUGUUGUGUGCGAUAAUUGAUCGGACAACAGUUUGAUAUUAGGAAAUAGGGUAAAAUUGAGCAAUGAAACAGACAGAGGAAAGGUGUGCUGAAUAUGCGAGGAGGCUCACUGUUCCUUUUGUCUCUUUCGUUUUGGUGUGUGAACCGAGUGAACGGGGGAGGCUAUAACUUUCAAACCGUUCUGCUGAAGUCGACAGCAGAACGGAUUGAACGUUGUAGGGAUUAAAAUUCAUCAAUAUUUGCAGCUAUUGUUUAGGAGAUAAAGGGAAUCGGCAGAAAGGGAAAAUGAUUAGAUUGAGCCAGCAGUUGAUGUGAGAUAUUUUUUUAGAUUUACUAAGAGCUAAAGAAGACGGCAGUCAUACGGCCAGUGGCUAAGCGGUAGCACUAACUGAUGAAAAGUUCCUAUAAUGCAUUACCCGCAUUCUUCGAGUCGAUCGGGAAUGAGGGUGUGCGACCAUUUGUCAUUAAUAUUACAGACAUUACAUUACACACUCACUUCAACGUAAAUAUGAAUCUAUUAUAUAAUACUACUAAACAAACAAGCGUAUGUAUAAACGGCAAUGUUUCGUUUGAUAAUGUUUUAAGUUAGUUUGUGCAGUUUCCAAUAAUGAUUCGAUGCAUGUGCAAGGGAACUUACCGAAUCUAAUGAUGAUGAUAGGUUCUGUCUAGAGCAACUGCUUUACACGGUCCAAACGGCAGGAAACAUAGUGCAAUGUAUAAAACACUAUUGGAACUUUCACACCAGUGCAUCGAGAGAGUUUAAUUUGCCGGAUCGAACUCCAUCUAUUAGUACUGUAACGAGCGUUGGAUUUUUUUAAGACAGCAUCCUGCCUGUCUGAGAUAACAAUUUUUAAUAAUGGAUUGUUCACCAAAUUGAAUCGUUUCGUUUAUAACGAAAAUGUUCGCUUUACUACUCGAAGAGACAUUUUAUUCGAUGUAUAAAUAUGGACACAAAAGGUUUGUUGGUAAAAUAAACCGAAACACCACUGCACGCGAUCACCAACACACGUAGGCACAUAAUGGAAAACAAAAAAAAACACACUCACUGAAUGACAUUGUUUCGUGAAAAAUAAUUUACUGAAACUACCAAAAUUGAAUGUUACACAAAAACAUGACAAUUGAUACUCGCGAAAACAACAAUAAUAGUUUAUUAGGUUGAAUAGAGAGAGGACAGCAGUAUGUUUGACUGUUUCAAAAAGGUGGCUAAGGUGCAGACAUGUAAUGGCAAAACAUGCAUAACUUUAAAUGAAACGAAUUUUGUUCCUAUUUGAGAUUGGAGAGAUAACGAGAAAACACAAGUGUGAGCAAAGAAUAUGGCAAACAUUAACAAAGAAAGAAACGCAAAAUGCAAAAAUAACCAUACAAAACCAGAAAACCGUAGCAAUUCAUGCGAAUUAAACAUCAAAUCAUAAUGAUAAAAAACACACACAAACACACACAACCACAAAUAAUCAAACAUUUCUACAACCAGAGAGAGUCAGAGAAAGAGAUAACGGAAGAUAAAAGAAACACAGAAAGACUCGACAUAUCAUGAACGAUUACUUUUGCCCUCGCAUUAAACAAGUGAAACUAAGAAAAUUUUUAAACCCAACCGCAUUAAAAAAGUGAAUCAUUUAGAUGAGGGAAGCUGAAGAAGAAAACGUUCUUUCAUGUGUCAAAUGUCAACCAACAUAACACACUAUUGCUACUACUAGUAAUAUUACUGUUACUACCAAUACUACUACUUACUACUAUUACUACUAACAACUACUCUACAGAAGGCAGCAGAACAGAGAUCAAAUACCAGGGCUACUUUCUUCGUUGCCGUUUAUUUCCCUCAACUAAACUGUUGUGAUCUAUACUCCUUGUUUUAAGCAAGUUCAAACCCAAAACUCCAACAAAAAACCAAACGCAUCCUGUAGAAGGCCAAGACUAAACUGCGCUUAAAAAAGAAAACCAACCUCUACUACAAAGUUCCUGUUCCCUUGCAUUUUGGCACGCGAUCGCAAGGGGUGUGAUCGGUGCUCGUGGGAAAAAUUGUUCAGUUUGUUAUUUCAACAUAUUUGUUAGUCUUAUUUUAAAGUCGUUCGUUCAAAUUUUCCUCAGACAAGAAAAAAAAAGAAACUUUACAAUACUCCAUGACAAACGAUGCUUAUUGAAGCGGUAUUGCUUCCGACACACUUUUUCAAUGAUUGGCAGAAUAAAUUAUAGCGUUUCACAAUGAUUAGAUAAACAUGAUGUGUGAGCGUGAUGGUAGAGGAUUGUCAUUUAUGACGCUACAAAUGAUGAAAACGAAAACUGAAUUUGAAACAAUUCAAAUUUUCACUCGGGAGACACUGAAGCUACCAGAAGCAAAGUGUUGUUUCUUCCAUGGUGAGUGAUUUGAAUUGAUUCCAGUUUUCUUCCAGAGGGUGAGAUAGUGAGGUCAUCAAACUGGAUCCAGUUCUGGAUCUCAACAAUGUCGUUGAUGGCAGCGGUUAAAUCCACCCCGCCCUCUGUAGCCAACCACGAGCAAAUGUAACCCUGGGAAACGCAAAGGAAAGAGCAGCAAAAGCAAAUGUUAAAAAGAAGAUAAGAAACAAACACACUAACCUAACGAAAAUGGUAAAAAGAGUUCCUAUAAAUUAAGUACUACUAACUAACAAUACUCACUCGCAACACGCAGUGACUGUUUAUGUUUAUAUUUUUCGUUGAUUUGUUAAUUUGUUUUCAUGCUAGUUUUGCGUUUCUUUUUUUAAUUAGUUUUUAACACAAUUUUUUUCUAUUUAUUUUCCUGUUGUCUUUUAAUACACUCGGUGAAAUACUACAACGUUACUUUUACAUUUUUGUAACCCUUUAUCAAUAUACAACAAAAAGCAGAAACACUGAUCUACGAUGUAAGAAUUACUUGAUGAGUUUGAUGUAUGAAAAAUUGUAAAGAUAACAUUAAAAAUAUGGUGAAAAGUAACUAUUAGCUAUAGGAACCGAAUCGGUACAGUGAGCCGCAAUUUGCCCAAAAUUAAACCAAAAACGUAUGUUCUUAAACCGUUUUACGUAACACUACCGACGUGCAGACCGCAUUUGAUAAUGGUUUUAUGUUGAACACUUUCAAUCCAAUCCCCAAAACGACAAGUGUAUGAAGAGUUUUACAUAUCUUCAGCAUAAAAACACAUGUAAAUCAACAGUCAAACCGGCACUUAAAAGAGCAAGUGCAUUCAAUCAAACAAUUACAGAAGACAAAAAAACAAUCUACGAAAUGAAUUACGGAGUAAACAUUACCGGCAAAUGUAUGCUGGUAGAAAGAACUAUGGUUUAAGGUACCCUCUGUAAUAUUGCCAUUUGCUUUCACCUUCUUCACAUGCCCUCCUGAUCCUUCACCAUCAGUCAACGUCAACUAAACUAUACCGCAGCUAACACUAAUAACGAGCCGGAAAACAUUUCAACCCAAGCAUACUUAUUCUAGCGAGCUGCAGGAAUUCAAACGAAACGCAACGUAACAGGACAACGGUCCUUACAAUCUAGCACAAAGGAGGGGAGAUACGUGGAUGAAAUGAAGCAUACACACACACAAUUGCAGAAAAAAUCUACUUACAUUGUAUAAGAUAUAUUGUCAGAUGUAAAAGAAGAAAAAUAAACUUAUUUGGUAGUCAA